CCUAUGACGACAUCAGAUAAAGGUAUUUCUGAAACCUCUAUUAUAUUUAAUUUAUUGAGAUUGAUUUAUUCUUAAUUAAUCAAUCUAAUCUUUAAAGCCAUAUUAUUCUUAAUAUCUUGAAGUUUACUUAUUAUAUUAAGCUAUAUAUGCUUCAUGAUUGACCUAAUUGAGGUCAGAUAAUAUUCAUGUUGUAAGGAGAUAGUA
Molecule: long non-coding RNA, 204 nt
Filed under: Elaeis guineensis (African oil palm)
Lineage: Eukaryota; Viridiplantae; Streptophyta; Magnoliopsida; Arecales; Arecaceae
Description: long non-coding RNA (EGUI_LNC031693)
Source: RNAcentral